Long non-coding RNA from Gallus gallus (chicken), 1019 nucleotides. RefSeq lists it as uncharacterized. The record is from RefSeq and is a predicted model, not a curated record. The transcript is spliced from 2 exons. Lineage: Eukaryota; Metazoa; Chordata; Aves; Galliformes; Phasianidae.
AGGGCAGUGCUCGGCACGGCGCUGGCACUGCUUUGUCCCGCUCCCGUCGACCGUACCCAGAGCUCUGCUCCCCCCGAGCCUGCCCACGGCCGGGCACUGCGCGGGGCCACGUGUGUAGGGCGAGGUGUGAGCCCGGCUGCCGGACAUGGGCAGCAGUGCGCCUCGAGCAGCGCGUGCCGCUGGGAGAAUCCAGCCCUCGCUCUGCCUUCAGCACGGCCAAGCCCAGCCCCGCCGCCGCUCUGUGCACGCACGCUUCUCCCUGCCUGCAGACACGUUACGGCAGUGCCCCGGGCACACAGGUGAGGGCAGAGUGCCGGGGCACAGCGCGGCUCUCUCCUCUCUGUCCCAGCAGAGCUCUGCAGCGCUGCAGCCUGAGAUCCCCUCCGGGUGAAUGGCCGCUGUGCUGCGGCUUCUUUGCCAGUCCUCCCCCGGCAGCACAGACAUCCGCGGCCGUGUGAGCCGUGCUGAGGUCUCCUGCUUUCCGAGGGGCACCGACUCACGGUGCCGACGGGCAGGACUCGAUGGAGAGCUGGCAGCUGGUUCAGGCGUGCUGUGACAGCCUCUCAGCAAUCAGAGUAUUUACUAAUUUCAAUCCCCGACGCGUUGCCCUUCUGAGGCGAGCGCUCGCUCUGCAGAGAAAUCUGUGAAAUGAGGCACAUGAUUUUCCAGCAGCACCACUCGCAGCUCGGUUUGAGAUGGGAACAGGAAGAAAUGUGUCAACACUUUCAUGUCUCUGCAUGUCGGAGCAGCGUGCCUGGCCAGGGCUGUGUGCUGCGGGCACACGUGUCACGGGCAGCACCAGGGCUGUGUGUGGGGCCGCGCUCUGCUGCGCAGGGCUAUGAGCCCGAGCCCCACAGCACUGCAGGGGCCCCUCGGCACCGCUGUGUGCAGACACUGCCGCAUCCCAGCAGGGCAGGCCAUGAUCUGACCCCCUGUGCAGGCUCUGUGAACAUGGCAGUGUGCCCCGAGGUCCCCACACACCGUGUGGCUGUGAUUAAAAACAGGCUGUGUGCAAACCA